AAAUUGAAGAGUUUGAUCAUGGCUCAGAUUGAACGCUGGCGGCAGGCCUAACACAUGCAAGUCGAACGGUAACAGGAAACAGCUUGCUGUUUCGCUGACGAGUGGCGGACGGGUGAGUAAUGUCUGGGAAACUGCCUGAUGGAGGGGGAUAACUACUGGAAACGGUGGCUAAUACCGCAUAACGUCGCAAGACCAAAGAGGGGGACCUUCGGGCCUCUUGCCAUCGGAUGUGCCCAGAUGGGAUUAGCUAGUAGGUGGGGUAACGGCUCACCUAGGCGACGAUCCCUAGCUGGUCUGAGAGGAUGACCAGCCACACUGGAACUGAGACACGGUCCAGACUCCUACGGGAGGCAGCAGUGGGGAAUAUUGCACAAUGGGCGCAAGCCUGAUGCAGCCAUGCCGCGUGUAUGAAGAAGGCCUUCGGGUUGUAAAGUACUUUCAGCGGGGAGGAAGGGAGUAAAGUUAAUACCUUUGCUCAUUGACGUUACCCGCAGAAGAAGCACCGGCUAACUCCGUGCCAGCAGCCGCGGUAAUACGGAGGGUGCAAGCGUUAAUCGGAAUUACUGGGCGUAAAGCGCACGCAGGCGGUUUGUUAAGUCAGAUGUGAAAUCCCCGGGCUCAACCUGGGAACUGCAUCUGAUACUGGCAAGCUUGAGUCUCGUAGAGGGGGGUAGAAUUCCAGGUGUAGCGGUGAAAUGCGUAGAGAUCUGGAGGAAUACCGGUGGCGAAGGCGGCCCCCUGGACGAAGACUGACGCUCAGGUGCGAAAGCGUGGGGAGCAAACAGGAUUAGAUACCCUGGUAGUCCACGCCGUAAACGAUGUCGACUUGGAGGUUGUGCCCUUGAGGCGUGGCUUCCGGAGCUAACGCGUUAAGUCGACCGCCUGGGGAGUACGGCCGCAAGGUUAAAACUCAAAUGAAUUGACGGGGGCCCGCACAAGCGGUGGAGCAUGUGGUUUAAUUCGAUGCAACGCGAAGAACCUUACCUGGUCUUGACAUCCACAGAACCUUGUAGAGAUACGAGGGUGCCUUCGGGAACUGUGAGACAGGUGCUGCAUGGCUGUCGUCAGCUCGUGUUGUGAAAUGUUGGGUUAAGUCCCGCAACGAGCGCAACCCUUAUCCUUUGUUGCCAGCGGUCCGGCCGGGAACUCAAAGGAGACUGCCAGUGAUAAACUGGAGGAAGGUGGGGAUGACGUCAAGUCAUCAUGGCCCUUACGACCAGGGCUACACACGUGCUACAAUGGCGCAUACAAAGAGAAGCGACCUCGCGAGAGCAAGCGGACCUCAUAAAGUGCGUCGUAGUCCGGAUUGGAGUCUGCAACUCGACUCCAUGAAGUCGGAAUCGCUAGUAAUCGUGGAUCAGAAUGCCACGGUGAAUACGUUCCCGGGCCUUGUACACACCGCCCGUCACACCAUGGGAGUGGGUUGCAAAAGAAGUAGGUAGCUUAACCUUCGGGAGGGCGCUUACCACUUUGUGAUUCAUGACUGGGGUGAAGUCGUAACAAGGUAACCGUAGGGGAACCUGCGGUUGGAUCACCUCCUUACCUUAAAGAAGC
RNAcentral lists this ribosomal RNA (1554 nucleotides) under Escherichia coli. RNAcentral describes it as "bacterial SSU rRNA". It matches the Rfam family "Bacterial small subunit ribosomal RNA". Lineage: Bacteria; Pseudomonadati; Pseudomonadota; Gammaproteobacteria; Enterobacterales; Enterobacteriaceae. The record is from RNAcentral.